AGGGCACACAGUGGAUGCCUUGGCACUUGGAGGCGAUGAAGGACGUGACGAACUGCGAUAAGCUGCGGUUAGCUGUAAGUAAGCUAUGACCCGCAGAUUUCCGAAUGGGGAAACCCACCUAUGGUCAUGCAUAGGUAUCUUUAGAGUGAAUACAUAGCUCUUUAGAAGCGAUACCCAGGGAACUGAAACAUCUAAGUACCUGGAGGAAAAUAAAGAAAAAUCGAUUCCCCUAGUAGCGGCGAGCGAAAAGGGAAGAGCCCAAACCAGCUUCGGCUGGGGUUGUAGGACACCAUUUUAGAGUUACAAAAUUAUUUGAUAGUUGAAUUAGUUGGAAAGCUAAACCGUAGUCGGUGAUAGUCCGGUAAACGAAAUUAAAUAAUCUCUUUGGUGUAUCCUGAGUACGGCGGGACACGAGAAAUCCCGUCGGAAUCCACGGGGACCACCCCGUAAGGCUAAAUACUACCAAGUGACCGAUAGUGAACAAGUACCGUGAGGGAAAGGUGAAAAGAACCCCGGGAGGGGAGUGAAAUAGAUCCUGAAACUGUGUUGCCUACAAGUAGUCAGAGCUCGUUAAUGAGUGAUGGCGUGCUUUUUGCAGAAUGAGCCGGCGAGUUACGGUAGCAUGCAAGGUUAAGUUGAAAAGACGGAGCCGUAGGGAAACCAAGUCUUAAUAGGGCGAAUUAGUAUGUUGCUGUAGACCCGAAACCAAGUGAUCUACCCAUGAGCAGGUUGAAGUUGGGGUAAUACCUAAUGGAGGACCGAACCACCGCACGUUGAAAAGUGCUUGGAUGACUUGUGGGUAGCGGAGAAAUUCCAAUCGAACUUGGAGAUAGCUGGUUCUCUCCGAAAUAGCUUUAGGGCUAGCCUUACAAAUGAGAUUACUGGAGGUAGAGCACUGAUAGUGUGAUGGCCCCAUCCAGGGGUACUGAUCAUUGACAAACUCCGAAUGCCAGAUAAUUGCUUUGUAGGAGUCAGGCUGCGGGUGCUAACGUCCGUAGCCGAGAGGGAAAGAACCCAGACCAUCAGCUAAGGUCCCAAAAUAUAUGUUAAGUGGAAAAGGUUGUUUGUUUGCUAAGACACCCAGGAGGUUGGCUUAGAAGCAGCCACUCCUUUAAAGAGUGCGUAAUAGCUCACUGGUCGAGUGAACAUGCGCCGAAAAUGUAACGGGGCUAAACAUAUUACCGAAGCUGUGGAUUAUACAUUUAUGUAUAGUGGUAGGAGAGCGUUCUAAUCAGCGUUGAAGGUAUACCGUGAGGAGUGCUGGAGCGAUUAGAAGUGAGAAUGCCGGCGUAAGUAACGAAAGGCAGGUGAGAAUCCUGCCCACCGAACAUCGAAGGUUUCCUGGGGAAGGCUCGUCCGCCCAGGGUUAGUCAGGACCUAAGGCGAGGCCGAAUGGCGUAGUCGAUGGACAACGGGUUAAUAUUCCCGUACUAGUUAAUGUUGCGAUGGAGUGACGGAGAAGGAUAGUCAAACCCAGUUAUUGGAUUCUGGGCCAAAUAGUGAGGCUUGUGUGUAGGCAAAUCCGCACACUUUAAGGCUGGGCUAUGAUGGGGAUGCUCGUAAGAGAUAAGUUGAUGUGUUCAUGCUUCCAAGAAAAGCUUCUAAGCUUAAACAUUAGCUACCUGUACCAAAACCGACACAGGUAGAUGGGUUGAGUAUACUAAGGUGAGCGAGAGAACUCUUGUUAAGGAACUCGGCAAAAUGGAUCCGUAACUUCGGGAUAAGGAUCGCUUUUCUAGGUACGCCUAGGAGAGCCGCAGUGAAUAGGCCCAAGCGACUGUUUAUCAAAAACACAGGUCUAUGCUAAACCGUAAGGUGAUGUAUAUGGGCUGACGCCUGCCCGGUGCUGGAAGGUUAAGAGGAGGUGUUAGACUUCGGUCGAAGCUCUGAAUUGAAGCCCCAGUAAACGGCGGCCGUAACUAUAACGGUCCUAAGGUAGCGAAAUUCCUUGUCGGGUAAGUUCCGACCCGCACGAAAGGCGUAACGAUUUGGGCACUGUCUCAACAAGAGACUCGGUGAAAUCAUGGUACGAGUGAAAACGCUCGUUACCCGCGACAGGACGAAAAGACCCCGUGGAGCUUUACUAUAGCUUGAUAUUGGGUUUUGAUAUAUUUUGUACAGCAUAGGUGGGAGACUAUGAUUUAGGGACGCUAGUUUCUAAUGAGUCAUCCUUGGGAUACCACCCUUGAUAUAUUAAAAUCCUCACUCUGGACCAUUAUCUGGUUCGAGGACAGUGUCUGGUAGGUAGUUUGACUGGGGCGGUCGCCUCCUAAAAGGUAACGGAGGCGCCCAAAGGUUCCCUCAAGAUGGUCGGAAAUCAUCUUAAGAGUGCAAUGGCAUAAGGGAGCUUGACUGCGAGACCUACAAGUCGAGCAGGUACGAAAGUAGGGC
Molecule: ribosomal RNA, 2391 nt
Filed under: marine metagenome
Description: bacterial LSU rRNA
Rfam family: Bacterial large subunit ribosomal RNA
Source: RNAcentral